CUCUGUCUAGGCAGGCACUAAAGAAAACCACUGGGCGGAGUCCCGAACACCCUAAGGCCGAGCUCCUGCUGCUCUCCAGCAAGCGCGUCGCUCUCCAGCAGGAGCACACGGAUUGGAGGGAAGGCCUGUCACUCUCCAGCACGAACAGGAGCAUUGGAGGGAAGGCCUGUCACUCUCCAUCACGUGCACUCCAGCCUGAGCACCCAGAAAUGGAGGAAGGGUCAGCCAUUUAUGAAGCUCUGCGUGUGAAAAGUCGCGAUCUCAUUUCUUAGCAGUCAUUACUGUCACCAUCGCUCAGGCUGAAAUUGGCCCAGCCCGCUCAGGAGCCAUGCUGCCUUCUCCUGUCCUCCUCCGGAACUGCGGAAAGAGCCGGACUAACCCUUGCAUGCGUCGGCAUCUGCUGCACAAAUGCUGCGUCGGCCUGUUCUCGGCGUGCGUUCGAGAACACAGUACUGUUCACACAACGUUCUGCGGUAACCGAGUUUAUAACGUGGACUCCAUGGCCGGGGAACAUGGGGCGCGCCUGCCUGCGGGGAGCAGCCUCCGGAGCCGCGGAGCCUGACUUCCGCCCACCGGGGCGGGUCCCUCCCGCCUCUGAAUCCUUCCGGUUCUUCCUGCGCCGUUAAACCCCCCCGUGUCCACGAGGUCCUGUGGGGUCACCCUCGCAGGAAGUCACAAGCCAGUCCUGAACCCCGUCCCCACCCGGCAAGCCCGCAGCCCCGCGCUGGGAUGUGCUGCCUGCUCGCCCCACGCGUGUUCCAGACGCGCGCUCUGUGAAGGGCCGGAGUCGGUAUUUGAGGCCCUGUGGGCCCCACGCUGUCCCCGCAGCAUGUCCUUUGGUUUGAGUCGGUAAACCGCAGCGCUGGCAGGACAGCAGGGCCCACACUGCACGCGGCCAGGCCCAGGGCUGUGCAGGGCGGUGCCUUCUGCCAGCUCUGGAGGCCCCGAGAGGCUGGUGCCCAGCAGCCCUGGCCCCAGGGCCGGCAUGGGGCUCAGGACGGGAGGCCUCAGGUGCACUGCAGCCACACCAGGAACACCCCGGGAUCUGCUGCAGGUCCCCCAGGGACCAGCUUCUGCAGUCCUGACUUCCUAGGGUGUCAGGUGGGUGCAGUCCCUGGCUGACGACCGAGGGUCCCCGAGGUUACGAGGCCAGCGCUGCACACAACUGAAAUGCUCACAACGCCUCGCACCUUACGGAAAAGAAACCAUCCCCAAAAGAUGCUGGGCAACAUCCCGAGGGUCACAGCAACAGUGCCAAGCCAGGACCAGCGCGGCCCACGAUCCCCCAGCGUGCACUGCCCGGCUGGCACCGCGCUCGGCCAGGAGGACCUGGAAGAGUCCUGCCCAGGGCUCAGGUCUACACCACGCUGCCACCCAGGCUGGGAGCCGCCGCUGAGUGUGGGGAACGUGGCACGUCCUACCUGAGACGUGCUGCUGCAGAGACUUGAUGAAACACUUCUAAACGGAUGUAAAAGUCUCAGUAACAAUUGUAUAUUGAGUACUUGUUAAAAUGAUAGGAAUUUUGGUUAUAGCAGAUUAGAUGAAACAUACUAUUAAAAUU
This is a long non-coding RNA of Sapajus apella (tufted capuchin), 1561 nucleotides long. RefSeq lists it as uncharacterized. The record is from RefSeq and is a predicted model, not a curated record. The transcript is spliced from 2 exons. Lineage: Eukaryota; Metazoa; Chordata; Mammalia; Primates; Cebidae.